Ciona intestinalis (vase tunicate) is the source of this 261-nucleotide non-coding RNA. Lineage: Eukaryota; Metazoa; Chordata; Ascidiacea; Phlebobranchia; Cionidae. The record is from RefSeq and is a predicted model, not a curated record.
UAAAAGUUUGAAUUUUUUGAAUCUACGCUAAAGCAAUACAGACCGAAGUCUUGUGUUCAAAUCACAUCAAUGUUAUCUCGCUCACGAAUGAAGAUGCCUUGAGUGACAGCCGCCGAUGAAGCUUUGGAGUGGCAACGUUGAAAAAAAGAGACAAAGACGGAACGAAAAGCUCAAGAACGAAGAUGGAGCCAUAGCAUACCCAGACUAGGAUUUAUUCUUAGUCGAUGUAAAUACUAACUUAUGUGAGCUGUAGCAUAAAAA